This 111-nucleotide ribosomal RNA is filed under the name Vigna angularis (adzuki bean). Lineage: Eukaryota; Viridiplantae; Streptophyta; Magnoliopsida; Fabales; Fabaceae. RNAcentral also lists the same sequence under 1 other name. The record is from RNAcentral.
AGGUGCGAUCAUACCUGCACUAGAUCCCAUCAGAACUCUGCAGUUAUGCGUGCUUCGGCGAGAGUAGUACUAAGAUGGGUAACCUCCUGGGAAGUCCUCGUGUUGCACCUC